This 482-nucleotide ribosomal RNA is filed under the name uncultured bacterium. Its description in RNAcentral is "partial 16S ribosomal RNA". It matches the Rfam family "Bacterial small subunit ribosomal RNA", at positions 29 to 523 of the family's 1533-position model. The record is from RNAcentral.
AAUGAACGUUGGCGGCGUGGAUUAGGCAUGCAAGUCGAGCGAGAACCGUAGCAAUACGGGGACAGCGGCGAAAGGGAGAGGAAUACGCGGGUACCUACCCUCGGAUCUGGGAUAGCCACGGGAAACUGUGGGUAAUACCAGAUAACGUCUUCGGACCAAAGGUGAGAUUCCGCCCGAGGAGGGGCCCACGUCCUAUAAGCUAGUUGGUGGGGUAAUGGCCUACCAAGGCAAUGAUGGGUACGGGGCGUGAGAGCGUGCCCCCGCUCACUGGGACUGAGACACUGCCCAGACACCUACGGGUGGAUGCAGUCGAGGAUCUUCGGCAAUGGGCGCAAGCCUGACCGAGCGACGCCGCGUGCGGGAUGAAGGCCUUCGGGUUGUAAACCGCCGUCGGAAGGGAGGAAAUGCCUAGGGGUUCUCCCCUAGGUUUGACCUAUCUUCAGAGGAAGUACGGGCUAAGUUCGUGCCAGCCGCCGCGGUAA